Molecule: transfer RNA, 115 nt
Filed under: Bryopsis hypnoides
Lineage: Eukaryota; Viridiplantae; Chlorophyta; Ulvophyceae; Bryopsidales; Bryopsidaceae
Description: tRNA-Ser
Rfam family: tRNA (bases 31-115)
About the family: Transfer RNA (tRNA) molecules are approximately 80 nucleotides in length.
Source: RNAcentral
GCGUAUUCCUUACAAAUUCUAAAAUAAUAAGGGAAGGUGGCAGAGCGGUUGAAUGCACCGGUUUUGAAAACCGACGUAGUUUAGACUACCGGGGGUUCGAAUCCCUCCCUUUCCG